RNAcentral lists this ribosomal RNA (433 nucleotides) under uncultured bacterium. RNAcentral's name for it is "partial 16S ribosomal RNA". It matches the Rfam family "Bacterial small subunit ribosomal RNA", at positions 29 to 507 of the family's 1533-position model. The record is from RNAcentral.
AACGAACGCUGGCGGCAUGCCUAACACAUGCAAGUCGAACGAGACCUUCGGGUCUAGUGGCGCACGGGUGCGUAACGCGUGGGAACCUGCCCUUAGGUUCGGCAUAACUCCCCGAAAGGGGUGCUAAUACCGGAUAAUGUCUUCGGACCAAAGAUUUAUCGCCUUUGGAUGGGCCCGCGUUGGAUUAGCUAGUUGGUAGGGUAAAAGCCUACCAAGGCGACGAUCCAUAGCUGGUCUGAGAGGAUGAUCAGCCACGCUGGGACUGAGACACGGCCCAGACUCCUACGGGAGGCAGGAGUGGGGAAUAUUGGACAAUGGGCGAAAGCCUGAUCCAGCAAUGCCGCGUGAGUGAUGAAGGCCUUAGGGUUGUAAAGCUCUUUUACCCGGGAUGAUAAUGACAGUACCGGGAGAAUAAGCUCCGGCUAACUCCGUG